GCGAUUUCGGUCAAAUCAUGUGGCAUUCGAGUGGCGGACGGGUGAGUAACGCGUGGGUAACCUGCCUUACACAGGGGGAUAACACCUGGAAACAGGUGCUAAUACCGCAUAAGCGCACAGGGCCGCAUGGCCCGGUGUGAAAAACUCCGGUGGUGUAAGAUGGACCCGCGUCUGAUUAGCUUGUUGGCGGGGUAGGGGCCCACCAAGGCGACGAUCAGUAGCCGGCCUGAGAGGGUGGACGGCCACAUUGGGACUGAGACACGGCCCAAACUCCUACGGGAGGCAGCAGUGGGGGAUAUUGGACAAUGGGGGAAACCCUGAUCCAGCGACGCCGCGUGAGUGAAGAAGUAUUUCGGUAUGUAAAGCUCUGUCAGCAGGGAAGAAAGAAAUGACGGUACCUGACCAAGAAGCCCCGGCUAACUACGUGCCAGCAGCCGCGGUAAUACGUAGGGGGCAAGCGUUAUCCGGAAUUACUGGGUGUAAAGGGAGCGUAGACGGUGAUGCAAGUCUGGAGUGAAAGGCGGGGGCCCAACCCCCGGACUGCUCUGGAAACUGUGUAACUUGAGUGCAGGAGAGGUAAGCGGAAUUCCUAGUGUAGCGGUGAAAUGCGUAGAUAUUAGGAGGAACACCAGUGGCGAAGGCGGCUUACUGGACUGUAACUGACGUUGAGGCUCGAAAGCGUGGGGAGCAAACAGGAUUAGAUACCCUGGUAGUCCACGCCGUAAACGAUGAUUACUAGGUGUCGGUGGGUAUGGACCCACCGGUGCCGCAGCAAACGCAGUAAGUAAUCCACCUGGGGAGUACGUUCGCAAGAAUGAAACUCAAAGGAAUUGACG
Molecule: ribosomal RNA, 836 nt
Filed under: uncultured bacterium
Lineage: Bacteria
Description: bacterial SSU rRNA
Rfam family: Bacterial small subunit ribosomal RNA
Source: RNAcentral